Molecule: ribosomal RNA, 253 nt
Filed under: uncultured bacterium
Lineage: Bacteria
Description: partial 16S ribosomal RNA
Rfam family: Bacterial small subunit ribosomal RNA
Source: RNAcentral
UACGGAAGGUGCAAGCGUUGUUCGGAUUGACUGGGCGUAAAGAGCACGUAGGCGGAUUGGUAAGUCGGUUGUGAAAGCCCCGGGCUCAACCACGGAAUUGCGUUUGAAACUGCUUAGCUUGAGUACAGGAGAGGAAAGCGGAAUUCCCAGUGUAGCGGUGAAAUGCAUUGAUAUUGGGAAGAACAUCUGUGGCGAAGGCGGCUUUCUGGUCUGUUACUGACGCUGAGAUACGAAAGCCAGGGGAGCGAACGGG